ACCUUGUUACGACUUCUCCUUCCUCUAAGUGUUAAGGUUCACAAAACUUCCCAUUUCGGGCACGAACGCGCCACAAAACGGUCCGAAUAAUUCACCGGAACACUCAAUCGGUAGGAGCGACGGGCGGUGUGUACAAAGGGCAGGGACGUAAUCGGCGCAAGCUGCUGACUUGCGCCUACUAGGCAUUCCUCGUUGAAGAUUAAUAAUUGCAAUAAUCUAUCCCCAUCACGAUGCAUACUCACAAGAUUACCUAGACCUAUCGGCCAAGGUUAUAAACUCGUUGGAUGCAUCAGUGUAGCGCGCGUGCACGCCCAGAACAUCUAAGGGCAUCACAGACCUGUUAUUGCCUCAAACUUCCUUGCGUUAGACACGCAAAGUCCCUCUAAGAAGUGAUACAAGAACACGAAGUUCCUGAUCCUAUUUAGCAGGUUAAGGUCUCGUUCGUUA
RNAcentral lists this ribosomal RNA (447 nucleotides) under Toxoplasma gondii ME49. RNAcentral describes it as "Toxoplasma gondii rRNA TGME49_459790". The record is from RNAcentral. Lineage: Eukaryota; Apicomplexa; Conoidasida; Eucoccidiorida; Sarcocystidae.